GGAUGAACGCUGGCGGCGUGCCUAACACAUGCAAGUCGAGCGAUUUACUUCGGUAAAGAGCGGCGACGGGUGAGUAACGCGUGGGUAACCUGCCUCAUACACAUGGAUAACAUACCGAAAGGUAUGCUAAUACAGGAUAAUAUAAGAGAUUCACAUGGAUUUCUUAUCAAAGCUCCGGCGGUAUGAGAUGGACCCGCGUCUGAUUAGCUAGUUGGUAAGGUAAUGGCUUACCAAGGCGACGAUCAGUAGCCGACCUGAGAGGGUGAUCGGCCACAUUGGAACUGAGACACGGUCCAAACUCCUACGGGAGGCAGCAGUGGGGAAUAUUGCACAAUGGGCGAAAGCCUGAUGCCAGCAACGCCGCGUGAGUGAUGAAGGCCUUCGGGUCGUAAAACUCUGUCCUCAAGGAAGAUAAUGACGGUACUUGAGGAGGAAGCCCCGGCUAACUACGUGCCAGCAGCCGC
RNAcentral lists this ribosomal RNA (464 nucleotides) under uncultured bacterium. RNAcentral describes it as "bacterial SSU rRNA". It matches the Rfam family "Bacterial small subunit ribosomal RNA", at positions 27 to 518 of the family's 1533-position model. The record is from RNAcentral.